AUACAAUGUUUGGAUGAGAGAUUUUAAAGUUUCAUGGAAUUGAAGCUAAAUUUGAUGAAUGGAUCUUAAAAAUGAUUACAUGCAAUACAUAUGGAAGAUUUUUUUUUUUUUUUUUUUGGGAGAAUAGAUAUAAGAAAACUAUAAAUGACAACAUUCUAAUAGAUACGGUGUUGGGUUUCUACCUAUGCGUUACAAGUUCAAAACUACUCCUCCCCUAAAUUAUUAUAAUAGUUUCGUAUCUCUUCCCCUCCCCAGAAUAAUAAUAUAUUUUUUAAGUGUCUUUGUAGUCAUAUAUUAUAUAUAGUGUUAAAGCUUAUAGUCCUUUACUAAAUCGUUAUUAGUGUCCUUGUAGUAUAUACGUAACAAUUGAAUUUAAUGUUUCGAAGUUUUGAAAGCCUAUUAUCCAAACAUAGCCUUAAAAACAUUAAUGUUAAAAAAAAUUGAAUCCUGGGUAGAGAUUGAUUGAUUCUACAAGAAGUUUGCAUACUAUGCUUAGUUUUUCGACAUAGAAGAAGCUUGAUAAUGUUACAUAAAAAGGUAAAAUUAUUUGAAAGCUGGACAGGAAUGUAGGUUUAAGGAAUACGGAUAAUAAUUGUGGAAAAAUAUGAUGGGAAAGAUUGACCUUGACUCGACUUCUUAUCAUGAUAUGAAAAAAAUGAAAAAUAACCAAACCAGAGAGGUUCUCCUUGAAGUUGUUGAAAAGUGCAACUGUAUUUUGAAAAUUUGAAAGAAUAAAUUACAAAUAUUAAAUGAUUCAACUCGAGCUUUUUGUGAUAAAAUUUAAUGUUUGUUAUGCAUGUGAUUAAGUUGGGAUGAUAUUGGUAUGACUAGUAGUGAGUUUGACCCUUGACCAUUUCGAUUGUGAAUAAGACCAUGAUUUGACGACGAAUUUUUCAAUGAUUAGGAAAAAAA
RNAcentral lists this long non-coding RNA (912 nucleotides) under Malus domestica (apple). Its description in RNAcentral is "long non-coding RNA (MDOM_LNC011099)". Lineage: Eukaryota; Viridiplantae; Streptophyta; Magnoliopsida; Rosales; Rosaceae. The record is from RNAcentral.